GCCGGGCCCUGUGGUGAGUGUCUGUAGUCCCAGCUACUCGGGAGGCUGAGGCUGGAGGAUUGCUUGAGCCCAGGAGUUCUGGGCUGCAGAUUGCACUAAUCCAGUCUGGUGUCCGCACUAAGUUCAGCAUCAAUACAGUGACCUCCCGGGAAAGGAGGACCACCAGGAUGCCUAAGCAGGAGUGAACUGGCCCAGGUUGGAAACAGAGUAGGUUAAAACUCCUGUGCUGAUCAGUAGUGAUAUCAGCCUGUGAAUAGUCACUGCACUCCAGCCUGGGCAGCAUAGCAAGACCCCCCCAU
RNAcentral lists this signal recognition particle RNA (299 nucleotides) under Catagonus wagneri (Chacoan peccary). Its description in RNAcentral is "Metazoan signal recognition particle RNA (ENSCWAG00000016435.1)". It matches the Rfam family "Metazoan signal recognition particle RNA". Rfam says of the family: The signal recognition particle (SRP) is a universally conserved ribonucleoprotein. The record is from Rfam by way of RNAcentral. Lineage: Eukaryota; Metazoa; Chordata; Mammalia; Artiodactyla; Tayassuidae.